CACGUAGGGCGCAAGCGUUUGUCCGGAAUUAUUGGGCGUAAAGAGCUCGUAGGUGGUUUGUUACGUCUGCUGUGAAAACCUAGGGCUUAACCCUGGGCUUGCAGUGGAUACGGGCAGACUAGAGGUAGGUAGGGGAGAAUGGAAUUCCUGGUGUAGCGGUGAAAAUGCGCAGAUAUCAGGAGGAACACCGGUGGCGAAGGCGGCCUUCUGGACCAGCACUGACGCUGAGACACGAAAGCGUGGGUAGCAAACAGG
RNAcentral lists this ribosomal RNA (255 nucleotides) under uncultured bacterium. RNAcentral's name for it is "partial 16S ribosomal RNA". It matches the Rfam family "Bacterial small subunit ribosomal RNA", at positions 524 to 776 of the family's 1533-position model. The record is from RNAcentral.